CUUCGCGCCCGAAUCCUCACACGCUGUCCCCGAGGGGGCCACUACCCGACCCUGCGGACAGGGACCGAUCUCGCGGCCGCUCAGCUGUGACAGUGCCGGCCGGCUCGCCCCGCGCAUGCGCACUGCCUUCCCUUCGGGCUCGGCCCCGCCCCCUCCGGGCUGCGCGCCUCGGACCGAGUCCGGGACUGGGGUCAGCGCAGGCGCAGACGCAGACGCUUAGCGGCGGCGCUUCCAGAACGCUGCGCUCGGGAGAGCCUCGGGGCCGGAGUCGCGUGGGCGCUGGGGGCGGGGCGGGCGCCCACUGCCUGAGCCGGAUGGCAGAGCCGUCUCUCCGCCAGCUCCCAGCGCUGGCUCGCGUCCCUGGGUUCCGAGCCCAGCGACGCGCAAGCUCCGUGGCCGCCAGCGCCGGCCCUGCCCCCUCGCUGCUGACCUCCGCCGCUUCACGCCGCGGACUCAGCUCCCGGGCUUUGCGGUCGCUGCCGGUGGGAUGGGGAGGGCCGCGAACCUCUGUCCUCUCAGGCAUUCACCGCGUGGCUGGGAGGGCGCCAGGAGGCCGAGGCCGGGGCUGCCAUGCGCUCCCGGUGCCUCACCCCGCAGGCUCCACAUGGACCAAACCCAGCUGGCAGUCAGAGGGCAAGAGCAUCUCGAUGCAGCGCAUACAGGCCAAUUCCAGGGUGCAGUGCAGCAUGGAAAAGGAGAAAUGUACCUGAAGAGGCAAAUGAAAGAUAUACAGCGUCACAGGCAAUCUUGCUUCUACUACCAUAAAAAUAGUUUACGUUUCUUAGACACUUA
RNAcentral lists this long non-coding RNA (792 nucleotides) under Homo sapiens (human). RNAcentral's name for it is "HSALNT0384276". The record is from RNAcentral. Lineage: Eukaryota; Metazoa; Chordata; Mammalia; Primates; Hominidae.